Molecule: ribosomal RNA, 760 nt
Filed under: uncultured bacterium
Lineage: Bacteria
Description: bacterial SSU rRNA
Rfam family: Bacterial small subunit ribosomal RNA
Source: RNAcentral
ACCAAAGGCCGGGCAACCGGUCACUGAAGGAUGGGCCUGCGUCUGAUUAGCUGGUUGGUGGGGUAACGGCCCACCAAGGCGACGAUCAGUAGCCGGUCUGAGAGGAUGAACGGCCACAUUGGGACUGAGACACGGCCCAAACUCCUACGGGAGGCAGCAGUGGGGAAUCUUCCGCAAUGGGCGCAAGCCUGACGGAGCAACGCCGCGUGAGUGAAGAAGGUUUUCGGAUCGUAAAGCUCUGUUGAGAGGGACGAGAGGCAAGGCUAGGAAAUGAGCUUUGUAGGACGGUACCUUUCGAGGAAGCCACGGCUAACUACGUGCCAGCAGCCGCGGUAAUACGUAGGUGGCGAGCGUUGUCCGGAAUUAUUGGGCGUAAAGGGAGCGCAGGUGGGAAAGUAAGUCAGUCUUAAAAGUGCGGGGCUCAACCCCGUGAGGGGAUUGAAACUACUUUUCUUGAGUGCAGGAGAGGAAAGCGGAAUUCCUAGUGUAGCGGUGAAAUGCGUAGAUAUUAGGAGGAACACCAGUGGCGAAGGCGGCUUUCUGGACUGUAACUGACACUGAGGCUCGAAAGUCAGGGGAGCGAACGGGAUUAGAUACCCCGGUAGUCCUGGCCGUAAACGAUGGAUACUAGGUGUAGGAGGUAUCGACCCCUUCUGUGCCGGAGUUAACGCAAUAAGUAUCCCGCCUGGGGAGUACGGUCGCAAGACUGAAACUCAAAGGAAUUGACGGGGGCCCGCACAAGCGGUGGAGUAUGUGGUUU